Molecule: ribosomal RNA, 424 nt
Filed under: uncultured bacterium
Lineage: Bacteria
Description: partial 16S ribosomal RNA
Rfam family: Bacterial small subunit ribosomal RNA
Source: RNAcentral
AAUAUUGGACAAUGGGGGGAACCCUGAUCCAGCCAUGCCGCGUGUGUGAAGAAGGUCUUCGGUUUGUAAAGUACUUUUGGCAGAGAAGAAAAGGUAUCUCCUAAUACGAGAUACUGCUGACGGUAUCUGCAGAAUAAGCACCGGCAAACUACGUGCCAGCCGCCGCGGUAAUACGUAGGGUGCAAGCGUUAAUCGGAAUUACUGAGCGUAAAGCGUGUGUAGGCGGUUCGGAAAGAAAGAUGUGAAAUCCCAGGGCUCAACCUUGGAACUGCAUUUUUAACUGCCGAGCUAGAGUAUGUCAGAGGGGGGUAGAAUUCCACGUGUAGCAGUGAAAUGCGUAGAUAUGUGGAGGAAUACCGAUGGCGAAGGCAGCCCCCUGGGAUAAUACUGACGCUCAGACACGAAAGCGUGGGGAGCAAACAGG